CUCAGAGACGCCAUUGUGAAAGUCAAGAAGAGUUCUCUUCUCUGUUUUACAAACUGUUAUAUGGUUUACCAUGUAAUGUUAAAAUCCUUGGAAUUGAAUCAUUCAGAGAUAAGGAUUAAAGUUUGGUAGAGUAAAUCAUUUUUUGAUUUAUUUGGCUUUUUCACAAUGGUUCAUAAAAAUCUGAGGGAAAAAUAUCCAUCUUAUCCGUUCGUACUCAUCACCGCAGCAGGUCUCCAAGGUUAGAAGCCUCUAGUUGACAGAAUAACGUUGGUAAGGGAAGUCGGCAAACUGAAUUUGUAACCUAGGGAUAAAAAUUGGCUCUUAAAAGGCUGGGUAUCAGGGUCACAUGUUGGAAUCUCUUGGGAAACUUAUUUACGAUAAUCUAACUUUGGUGGGAUUAUUGUGGAUGGGUGGAAUAAGGGUGGAUGGUGUGUGAUAAAUCGUGGAUUUAUUUCUUGUAUACAAUUAACAGCUAAUUAGAACUGUUACUGAGAA
RNAcentral lists this ribosomal RNA (495 nucleotides) under uncultured eukaryote. RNAcentral describes it as "eukaryotic LSU rRNA". It matches the Rfam family "Eukaryotic large subunit ribosomal RNA", at positions 1658 to 2126 of the family's 3401-position model. The record is from RNAcentral.